CAACACAGGGCCGGGCCGCAGCCUCCCGCUGGGAACUGGACGACAGGCUGCUUUGGCUCUGGGGUGCCCAGAUGAUGCCCGGCACGGCAGCUGUGGGCACGGAACUGUUGGGGCGCUCCUCUUGCAAAGGGCCUUUUGUAGAAGCGAGAGCAGCCCCGGCCACCUGUACUGCCCGCAGGCUGCUAGCAGGAAGCAAGCAGGGCCAUCAAACUCAGCAGGCGUGUCGGGGGCACCUCCGGCCCCCCGGGCACACACGGCUGGUUUGUUCUGCCCGCUGCUCAGCGGGGAUGGGAGGAGCAGGGCAGGAGCAGAUUAGUGGCCGUA
This 324-nucleotide long non-coding RNA is filed under the name Gallus gallus (chicken). Its description in RNAcentral is "lncRNA (ENSGALG00010021366.1)". Lineage: Eukaryota; Metazoa; Chordata; Aves; Galliformes; Phasianidae. The record is from RNAcentral.